CGAACGUUAGCGGCGCGCCUAACACAUGCAAGUCGCACGAGAAAGGGAGCAAUCCCCGGUACAGUGGCGCACGGGUGAGUAACACGUAGAUGACCUUCCCUGGAGUGGUGGAUAACCUGCCGAAAGGCGGGCUAAUACAGCAUGGGACCACAUGGUUUUGACCGAGUGGUGAAAGCGGGCCUCUGUUCACAAGCUCGCGCUCUGGGAUGGGUCUGCGUCCCAUCAGCUAGUUGGUGAGGUAAUGGCUCACCAAGGCAUCGACGGGUAGCUGGUCUGAGAGGAUGACCAGCCACACUGGAGCUGAGACACGGUCCAGACUCCUACGGGAGGCAGCAGUGGGGAAUCUUGCGCAAUGGGCGAAAGCCUGACGCAGCGACGCCGCGUGGGUGAUGAAGGCCUUCGGGUUGUAAAGCCCUGUGGGGAGGAACGAACCGUACGGGGGCGAACACCCUCCGUACCUGACGGUACCUCCUUAGCAAGCAUCGGCUAACUCUGUG
Molecule: ribosomal RNA, 497 nt
Filed under: uncultured bacterium
Lineage: Bacteria
Description: bacterial SSU rRNA
Rfam family: Bacterial small subunit ribosomal RNA
Source: RNAcentral